Molecule: ribosomal RNA, 254 nt
Filed under: uncultured bacterium
Lineage: Bacteria
Description: partial 16S ribosomal RNA
Rfam family: Bacterial small subunit ribosomal RNA
Source: RNAcentral
UACGAAGGGGGCUAGCGUUGCUCGGAAUCACUGGGCGUAAAGCGCACGUAGGCGGGCUCUUAAGUCGGUGGUGAAAUCCUGGAGCGCAACUCCAGAACUGCCUUCGAUACUGAGAGUCUUCGAGUCCGGGAGAGGUGAGUGGAACUGCGAGUGUAGAGGUGAAAUUCGUAGAUAUUCGCAAGAACACCAGUGGCGAAGGCGGCUCGCUGGAUCGCAACUGACGCUGAGGGACGAAAGCUAGGGGAGCAAACAGG